UACUCGAGUGGCGAACGGGUGAGUAACACGUGGGUGAUCUGCCCUGCACUUCGGGAUAAGCUUGGGAAACUGGGUCUAAUACCGGAUAGGAGCCAUCUUUAGUGUGGUGGUUGGAAAGUUUUUUCGGUGUAGGAUGAGCUCGCGGCCUAUCAGCUUGUUGGUGGGGUAAUGGCCUACCAAGGCGGCGACGGGUAGCCGGCCUGAGAGGGUGUACGGCCACAUUGGGACUGGGAUACGGCCCAG
This 243-nucleotide ribosomal RNA is filed under the name uncultured Actinomycetales bacterium. RNAcentral's name for it is "partial 16S ribosomal RNA". It matches the Rfam family "Bacterial small subunit ribosomal RNA", at positions 88 to 334 of the family's 1533-position model. The record is from RNAcentral. Lineage: Bacteria; Bacillati; Actinomycetota; Actinomycetes; Actinomycetales.